This 468-nucleotide ribosomal RNA is filed under the name uncultured bacterium. RNAcentral's name for it is "partial 16S ribosomal RNA". It matches the Rfam family "Bacterial small subunit ribosomal RNA", at positions 28 to 507 of the family's 1533-position model. The record is from RNAcentral.
GACGAACGCUGGCGGCGUGCUUAACACAUGCAAGUCGAACGGAAAGGCCCUGCUUUUGUGGGGUGCUCGAGUGGCGAACGGGUGAGUAACACGUGAGUAACCUGCCCUUGACUUUGGGAUAACUUCAGGAAACUGGGGCUAAUACCGGAUAGGAGCUCCUGCUGCAUGGUGGGGGUUGGAAAGUUUCGGCGGUUGGGGAUGGACUCGCGGCUUAUCAGCUUGUUGGUGGGGUAGUGGCUUACCAAGGGUUUGACGGGUAGCCGGCCUGAGAGGGUGACCGGGCACAUUGGGACUGAGAUACGGCCCAGACGCCUACGGGAGGCAGCAGUGGGGAGUAUGGCAGAAUGGGGGGAAGCCUGAUGCAGCAACGCCGCGUGCGGGAUGACGGCCUUCGGGUUGUAAACCGAUUUCGCCUGUGACGAAGCGUGAGUGACGGUAAUGGGUAAAGAAGCACCGGCUAACUACGUG